UUAGAAUUGACGGGGACCCGCACAAGUGGUGGAGCAUGUGGUUAAUUCGAUGAUACGCGAGGAACCUUACCUGGGCUUAAAUGUAGAGUGCAUUUUCUAGAGAUAGGGAAUUCCCUUCGGGGCUUUCUGCAAGGUGCUGCAUGGUUGUCGUCAGCUCGUGCCGUGAGGUGUCGGGUUAAGUCCCAUAACGAGCGCAACCCUUAUCGUUAGUUGCCAUCUGGUAAAGCAGGGGACUCUAGCGAAACUGCCACCGUAAGGUGAGAGGAAGGUGGGGAUGACGUCAAAUCAGCACGGCCCUUAUGUCCAGGGCUACACACGUGUUACAAUGGCCGGUACAGAGGGCAGCUACCUGGUGACAGGAUGCUAAUCUCGAAAACCGGUCUCAGUUCGGAUCGAAGUCUGCAACUCGACUUCGUGAAGCUGGAUUCGCUAGUAAUCGCGCAUCAGCCAUGGCGCGGUGAAUACGUUCCCGGGCCUU
This 478-nucleotide ribosomal RNA is filed under the name uncultured Sphingobacteriales bacterium. RNAcentral's name for it is "bacterial SSU rRNA". It matches the Rfam family "Bacterial small subunit ribosomal RNA", at positions 907 to 1382 of the family's 1533-position model. The record is from RNAcentral. Lineage: Bacteria; Pseudomonadati; Bacteroidota; Sphingobacteriia; Sphingobacteriales.